CAUGGGGACCUGUUUUAUGCCAUCACAGCUGACAGUGUUUACCUGGAAACGUUUGUUCUUUGUAACAAGCUUCUUUCCCAGCCUGCCUCCUGGAGGUGAACAUGUGCAGGUGGAGAAGUGCCCACUGCAUCGGGGCCAAAAGAGAGAACGCUGCCUACCUCACCCCAACGGCAUUUGAAAGUAGACUGGCUCAUCUGAAAUGCUUAUUUGCAAGCAUCUAACUUCCUGACCCUGUGUCACAGAUGGCCCCACUUGGCCCCAAGCCCCUG
RNAcentral lists this long non-coding RNA (269 nucleotides) under Homo sapiens (human). RNAcentral describes it as "HSALNT0194862". The record is from RNAcentral. Lineage: Eukaryota; Metazoa; Chordata; Mammalia; Primates; Hominidae.